Cicer arietinum (chickpea) is the source of this 1739-nucleotide non-coding RNA. Lineage: Eukaryota; Viridiplantae; Streptophyta; Magnoliopsida; Fabales; Fabaceae. The record is from RefSeq and is a predicted model, not a curated record.
AAUUAUGCUUAUAUCGUUUGUUUUUAUUUUGACGUUCACUUCUAUCGUCUCUCUGAAACUCCUAAACCAUUGUGACUCUGCGAUCAUCCAAGACCACCGACCUUCCACCUACCGGCAUCGUUUUACGGCAUCUCGGCCGGCACCGUCCUUCCUUCUUUCUUAAUCGUUUAGUUCUGAACUUUCUUGUGGAUAUAAAAGGACCUGCUUUAGCAUUUCUACCAGUGCUUGCAUUUGAAGGAAGAACCAGAAGAAAUAUACCUAACUUUGAGGUAUUUGUGUUUUUUUGCUUAAUUCUUCACCUUGCAGGCAGGCACAUUGCUUUAUGUGCGGGUUGUAAAAGCAAACCCUGGAAUGCAUCCUGAGCUGUCAUGCACUGAUGCCAGUGGGAAAGCAGGAGAGUUUGGUGCCCUAAAAGAAGGCUAUAUGUUCGAGUGUUAAACCGGUCUCUCAAGGAUCUCACCCACAUGUCCAGUACUUGAUACAUUAGGGAAGAAACUGUCUUUCGAGAUAGCAGUUGGCUUAAAUGGACGUGUUUGGGUCAAUGCCUCUUCUCCAUCAACAACUAUUGUCGUAGCUAAUGCUAUUAUAAACUCAGACAUUGAGUGGUGUACAGCAGAAAAUAAUGGCUGAAAAGCUGCUGCAGAGAGUCCAGUGACCAAGUUAACCGGCGAGUACUGUUGAUGAGACUACGACAAUAGCUAAGUGCAUGAAUGAUUUUCAACACCUUGGUUGUUUAAUGUAAGUUACAUGGCAUUUUAGAUAAAUGCGGAAAUUAACAUGGACCAAUAAAUUUGUUCAUUUUAGACCGAUGUCCUUUAUAGCAAUUAGAUUUAAUAGUUAAAGUAUUCAACGACCUAGAUUUUUGAAGGGCUAUUUGUAUGCUAACUUGUAAGGCCACUCAAAAGUUAUUUUCUUGACAGUUUUUCAAGAGUGCUGGAAUUUAUUUGUUGGCUACUGGCUACAUCAUCUAGAUUUUCUGGUCUUGAAGAUAUGUCUUUGUUUUAGGUUGCAAUGUUUUUUUUUGUUCUUUUUCUGUAUUUACAGUAUACUUUGCUGCGAGGUGUUUGGGCACAUCUAGUGGUUUAGUUUUUUUUUGUUACUUUCAUAGUUUUAGUUACACUUUUUAUUGAUGAAUUCUGUUUGUUUACAAAAAAUAGUAAUUGUAGUUUUAAGGCAAUGAAUACUGACCUUAGAAAGGAAUUAAAACUUCAAAUUAAAAAUUAAAAAAGCAAAAAUAAGGAACAAAAAUUUGUUGUUUCUAAUUGAUGUAUUACUAUUGAAUUGUAAUAUGGUGUCUCUUGUGAUGCCAUAUAUAUUCAAAAUUCUGAUUGAACCAUCCAACAACUCUUCUACAAAUUUCUCACCUUGGUGAGAAAUGGCCUUUUGUGUUGAUGACAUACUGAGAAGAUCUUCCAAUGAAACGUACAAAUCUUUAAGAAAUGAAAGGCCAGGUCUUGAUUUUGCAUAGCUUGUUGUAUUCUAGUGGAGUUGGGAUGAGCCUCAGAAGGAAAACUGUUUGAGCGAACAUGUGGAUUGUCUCAAUUUGAAGGAGCUGCAUGCUACAAUAAGUUGUUUUAAUAUAAGGUUCGAAUCUAGAUCCUAUGGUAUAGAAAAAUGUAUAAUAAUUCAAGGGGUAUUUAAGUUAAAUAUAAUUCAGAAAAUAAAAUGAUGACCAAAUUUGUAGCUUUUAGAUUAGAAAUGUUUUUGUACUGUAAAAAAUUAGGAAUGUGUUUGCACGA